AUGGCGCUGCUCCGCGGCGCCAGCCCCGCCCCCAGGGCCGGCCCCGGCCCCGCGAUUGGCUCCGCUCGUUCGUGUCCGCCAAUGGCAGCCUGCGCUGCCCGUGACGUCACCGCGGCCCGGCGGCGCACGGAAGUGAACGUGCCCGCGGGAGCGCUGCGGGAGAGAAUUGCUGGGGAUCCCAGCAGACCCUGCCGGACCCCCUGGGACCACUCUGCAGGAAUGAAGAAGAAGAAGGAAUAUGCAUGUGCCCUGGAAUCCAGGUUGACGAUAGACCACCAGCUCUACCGCAGAGUUGAAACUCUGGAAAAAGAUUUCCAAAAAGGUCUGGACAACAUAAACCAUGAGCUUAAGUAUGUCAGAGCAGAGCUGCAGAACAACCAAGGAAAGAACGAGGAGGAUAUUCCAUUGAUCCCAGAAACAUUGUUGAAGAAGAACAAGCAAGAGUUAUCAGAAAAAAUCAAGACUGUGAAAGAUGAUGUAGAGCAAAGUAAGGAGGACAUAAAUCAUAAGCUUCAGAAACUCAGAGAUGAGCUGGAGGAGGAGAACCAAGGAAUGAAGAAGGAGAAGGAGCGUGCAUGGGCCCUGGAAUCCAGGUUGAAGAGGAAAAUGCGGCAGUUUUCCAGAAGAACCGAAACUCUGCAAGAAGAUGUAGAGGAAUGGCCAGAGACCAUAAUGCUUGAGCUUCAGGUUCGCGGAGGAGUGCUGAAGAACAUGAAAGGUGAGCAGGGCCGUUGCCAUGCAGACUUUCACCCAUCUGAAGGCAGAAGCUGCUCUACAGGCCAAGCACCCUGUGAACUCAUCCUGCUCAGCUCCUCAGAGGCCAUGGGCAGGGACAGUCCUUCCAUGAGGAGCAGCUUCUGUGGUCCAUGGCACUGA
This 876-nucleotide long non-coding RNA is filed under the name Catharus ustulatus (Swainson's thrush). Its description in RNAcentral is "lncRNA (ENSCUSG00005011995.1)". Lineage: Eukaryota; Metazoa; Chordata; Aves; Passeriformes; Turdidae. The record is from RNAcentral.